RNAcentral lists this ribosomal RNA (895 nucleotides) under uncultured archaeon. RNAcentral's name for it is "bacterial SSU rRNA". It matches the Rfam family "Archaeal small subunit ribosomal RNA", at positions 21 to 922 of the family's 1478-position model. The record is from RNAcentral.
GGUUACUGCUAUCGAGGUUCGACUAAGCCAUGCGAGUCGAAUGUAGCAAUACAUGGCGAACUGCUCAGUAACACGUGGACAACCUGCCCUUAGGUUGGGUAUAAACCCGGGAAACUGGGUAUAAUACCCGAUAGGUCUCGAUUGCUGGAAUGCAUCGAGAUUUAAAGCUCCGGCGCCUAAGGAUGGGUCUGCGGCCUAUCAGGUAGUAGUGGGUGUAGCGUACCUACUAGCCUACGACGGGUACGGGUUGUGAGAGCAAGAGCCCGGAGAUGGAUUCUGAGACACGAAUCCAGGCCCUACGGGGUGCAGCAGGCGCGAAAACUUUACAAUGCUGGCAACAGCGAUAAGGGAACCUCGAGUGCCAGGUUACAAAUCUGGCUGUCGAGAUGCCUAAAAAGCAUUUCAUAGCAAGGGCCGGGCAAGACCGGUGCCAGCCGCCGCGGUAACACCGGCGGCUCGAGUGGUAACCGUUAUUAUUGGGUCUAAAGGGUCUGUAGCCGGCCGGAUAAGUCUCUUGAGAAAUCUGGCAGCUUAACUGUCAGGCUUUCAGGAGAUACUGUCUGGCUCGAGGCCGGGAGAGGUGAGAGGUACUUCAGGGGUAGGGGUGAAAUCUUGUAAUCCUUGAAGGACCACCAGUGGCGAAGGCGUCUCACCAGAACGGACCUGACGGCAAGGGACGAAAGCUAGGGGCACGAACCGGAUUAGAUACCCGGGUAGUCCUAGCCGUAAACGAUACUCGCUAGGUGUCGGCCACGGUGCGACCGUUGUCGGUGCCGUAGGGAAGCCGUGAAGCGAGCCACCUGGGAAGUACGGCCGCAAGGCUGAAACUUAAAGGAAUUGGCGGGGGAGCACCACAACGGGUGGAGCUUGCGGUUUAAUUGGAUUCAACGCCGGG